AUAAUGGGUCAGCGACUUAUAUUCUGUAGCAAGGUUAACCGAAUAGGGGAGCCGAAGGGAAACCGAGUCUUAACUGGGCGUUAAGUUGCAGGGUAUAGACCCGAAACCCGGUGAUCUAGCCAUGGGCAGGUUGAAGGUUGGGUAACACUAACUGGAGGACCGAACCGACUAAUGUUGAAAAAUUAGCGGAUGACUUGUGGCUGGGGGUGAAAGGCCAAUCAAACCGGGAGAUAGCUGGUUCUCCCCGAAAGCUAUUUAGGUAGCGCCUCGUGAAUUCAUCUCCGGGGGUAGAGCACUGUUUCGGCAAGGGGGUCAUCCCGACUUACCAACCCGAUGCAAACUGCGAAUACCGGAGAAUGUUAUCACGGGAGACACACGGCGGGUGCUAACGUCCGUCGUGAAGAGGGAAACAACCCAGACCGCCAGCUAAGGUCCCAAAGUCAUGGUUAAGUGGGAAACGAUGUGGGAAGGCCCAGACAGCCAGGAUGUUGGCUUAGAAGCAGCCAUCAUUUAAAGAAAGCGUAAUAGCUCACUGGUCGAGUCGGCCUGCGCGGAAGAUGUAACGGGGCUAAACCAUGCACCGAAGCUGCGGCAGCGACGCUGAUGCGUUGUUGGGUAGGGGAGCGUUCUGUAAGCCUGUGAAGGUGUGCUGUGAGGCAUGCUGGAGGUAUCAGAAGUGCGAAUGCUGACAUAAGUAACGAUAAAGCGGGUGAAAAGCCCGCUCGCCGGAAGACCAAGGGUUCCUGUCCAACGUUAAUCGGGGCAGGGUGAGUCGACCCCUAAGGCGAGGCCGAAAGGCGUAGUCGAUGGGAAACAGGUUAAUAUUCCUGUACUUGGUGUUACUGCGAAGGGGGGACGGAGAAGGCUAUGUUGGCCGGGCGACGGUUGUCCCGGUUUAAGCGUGUAGGCUGGUUUUCCAGGCAAAUCCGGAAAAUCAAGGCUGAGGCGUGAUGACGAGGCACUACGGUGCUGAAGCAACAAAUGCCCUGCUUCCAGGAAAAGCCUCUAAGCAUCAGGUAACAUCAAAUCGUACCCCAAACCGACACAGGUGGUCAGGUAGAGAAUACCAAGGCGCUUGAGAGAACUCGGGUGAAGGAACUAGGCAAAAUGGUGCCGUAACUUCGGGAGAAGGCAC
Molecule: ribosomal RNA, 1135 nt
Filed under: Escherichia coli
Lineage: Bacteria; Pseudomonadati; Pseudomonadota; Gammaproteobacteria; Enterobacterales; Enterobacteriaceae
Description: partial 23S ribosomal RNA
Rfam family: Bacterial large subunit ribosomal RNA
Source: RNAcentral